This 487-nucleotide ribosomal RNA is filed under the name uncultured bacterium. Its description in RNAcentral is "bacterial SSU rRNA". It matches the Rfam family "Bacterial small subunit ribosomal RNA", at positions 28 to 507 of the family's 1533-position model. The record is from RNAcentral.
GAUGAACGCUGGCGGACGUGCCUAAUACAUGCAAGCGAACGAAUCCUUUUAGAGAUGAGUGGCGAACGGGUGAGUAAUACAUAGGUAACCUGCCCCUGUGCGGGGGAGUAACAGGAGGAAACUCCUGCUAAUACCGCAUAGCCAUGAGCACCGCAUGGAGCUCAUGCCAAAUAUCCUUUCGGGGAUAGCGCAGGGGAUGGACCUAUGGCGCAUUAGCUAGUUGGCGGGGCAACGGCCCACCAAGGCAACGAUGCGUAGCCGGCCUGAGAGGGCGGACGGCCACAUUGGGACUGAGACACGGCCCAGACUCCUACGGGAGGCAGCAGUAGGGAAUUUUCGGCAAUGGGGGGAAACCCUGACCGAGCAACGCCGCGUGAGCGAAGAAGGCCUUCGGGUCGUAAAGCUCUGUUGUAAAGGAAGAACGGCGCAUACAGGAAAUGGUAUGCGAGUGACGGUACUUUACCAGAAAGCCACGGCUAACUACGUG